GUCGUGUUGGAGCCUCACCAUGACGUCUCAUGUUUCCUUCUCACCAUAUACUAUCAUCUUUAGCGUGACGUAAUGUAGUCGUAGAGGUGUUGCUGCUAUUUUCCACUUGGACUCUCUUCCUCGGCUUUGCUGCAUUUGAAUUCGUCCAAGGACUAGCCAUAUCUUCACUUUAUAUGACUUGUUUAUAUUCUGCCUUUAGUUGAGCAGCUUUAUCCAAAUAAACUUUCUUCUCCUAAAUGGUCAGAGAACACGAACCAUAGUAAGAAGACAGUAAAC
Molecule: long non-coding RNA, 276 nt
Organism: Arabidopsis thaliana (thale cress)
Lineage: Eukaryota; Viridiplantae; Streptophyta; Magnoliopsida; Brassicales; Brassicaceae
Product: other RNA
Exons: 1
Source: RefSeq